Oncorhynchus gorbuscha (pink salmon) is the source of this 303-nucleotide long non-coding RNA. RefSeq lists it as uncharacterized. The transcript has 3 exons. The record is from RefSeq and is a predicted model, not a curated record. NCBI's taxonomy places the organism in Eukaryota, Metazoa, Chordata, Actinopteri, Salmoniformes, Salmonidae.
UCUUAAAUACUUGGAAUAUGUGAGGUUAAGAACAUAUCUAAAUAAUUUCAAAUAGUCUAUAACCUCUGUGGCAGGCCGUGAAAGCUGCUUUCAGAUCAGAACAUACAUUUGAUGAAAUGAAGCAUGGCUACAGGACGUGCAGGCAGGCAAAACCGCUUUGAAACCAAACUUUUGAGUACGAGUAUGAAGAUAAACUCUGGAAGUUAUGGAAGGACUUGAAGGAGCCUAAACCGAAAGUGUAAGAAAGCUGCUCUACACUGCCUGGUACGGCAACUGCACCGCCCAUAACAGCAGGGCUCUCCA